Molecule: unclassified non-coding RNA, 349 nt
Filed under: fungal sp.
Lineage: Eukaryota; Fungi
Description: partial internal transcribed spacer region
Rfam family: Eukaryotic small subunit ribosomal RNA (bases 1-46)
Source: RNAcentral
AAGUCGUAACAAGGUUUCCGUAGGUGAACCUGCGGAAGGAUCAUUAACAAUAAUAUUAUAUUAUAAUUUAUACCGAGGAAAUAUAACCGUUAGGUUAUAUUUGCUUGGAAUAAAUUAGAUAUUAAUCAAUGAUAUCCACCCUUUCAAAUGUGAAACUGUUUAAAACGUAGUUUAUGACUUUUUGGUUUAGGUGUUUUGAAUCUUUUGAGGUUUGAAACGAUAAAUUGCCUGCCAAAAGUUUUUCUGUUUAAAACUAACUUUGCUAAAUUAUUUGUUGAAUUAUAACUAAUCAUUCUUUUAUGGAUGAAUAAACUUAAUACAACUUGCAACAAUGGAUCUCUUGGUUCUG